Long non-coding RNA from Panicum virgatum (switchgrass), 1130 nucleotides. RefSeq lists it as uncharacterized. The record is from RefSeq and is a predicted model, not a curated record. The transcript is spliced from 2 exons. NCBI's taxonomy places the organism in Eukaryota, Viridiplantae, Streptophyta, Magnoliopsida, Poales, Poaceae.
UGCCCGCACCAACACGCAGAGCAUAGGGAAUCAGAGAAGCCCAUAAGACGGGCCUCCUCCGAUCCCCCAAACCCAAACGCAAUCCUACACCACCAGCCAGACAACCCUACCCAGCAACACCCUGCGGGGGACUCCUCCCUCUCCAUGGUUGCACGCCAUGGAUGCCUUGGAGCUCAGAGAUCCAUGGCCAAUCCUUCUUCCACAUACCUCCUUGCCGUCAUUCUAUCUCCUGUCCUCAGCUAGCUAACCGGCCGAAGGAGAAAGAAAUGGAAGUGUAGCUAUGGUGUUGGCUCGGCUCACUCAGAAGCUGAAGGAGCCAUGGCCCAUGUGGAUCUAGCUACGCACAGAUUGCAGUGCUAGCUCCUGGGGUUUCUGAUUGAGCCGUGCCAAUAUCUUAGCACCCUUUCAUGUUUGCGCCGCACCUUCUCUUCCUGAAUUAUUCUGCCUCGAUUAUUACUGGGUUCUUGUAUCUCUUUGAAUUUUCUCUGCAAUUAAGUAUGCAUGGAUCAUAGAUGAAGUGCAAGCAUGCACUUUCGAUUUGUUUCUAAAUUUUUUUGGGGUGCUGUGACUAACCAGCAGUAACCAUUGACUGCGCUGCGCCUUGCAUGCUGUGGCACCAGUUAGGUCAUGCAGAAAUCGCUCGGUAGACAAAGCAGGAGAAAUAGUGCACGCGCACCGCCCCCAGCAUGCAUGCAUGUCCAGUCCAUGCAGCUCUUCAGAUGCAUCAUGGGCGUUCUUGAACACACCCUAAUUUUGAACUGUGCUAUUGCUACAGGCGCUUCCAUGGAUGAAGUGCCAAACUACUAUAUUCCAUGGAAUAUAUGACCCAGUUGAAGCAGAUUGAAGGCAUACGAAUCGCACUUCUGGAUAUUUAUUUUAGUAAGGAAGGACAUGGACUAUAUGAUCGAGCGUGUGUAGUAGCUUAGUGGAGUAUGUAUAAGUGUAACCGUAGUAGUAUGUGUCCACCUCCUAAAUAAUGAGGGAGAAAAUGUGUGGACAUGUAUGAUCUGCUUUGUACUUUCAUGUGACAGUUGCGACCAUGUAUUUCCUAGUUCUCUCAUGUAAUGCCUGUAGUAAUCGUGCCCCAGACAGAGAAUUCAGCAAGAAAUGAGUUGGUUCACUUGAUAGUA